GCAGGUGAAUGCAACGUUGGGCGAUGAACGUUGUGCUCCAUAAUUGUAGUUUUUCUCAUCUUGAGUUUCACAGAAAAUAAUUGACCUUCAUUAUGCCGAUGUUAAUUUAGCAUCGGCUAUU
RNAcentral lists this small RNA (121 nucleotides) under Xenorhabdus szentirmaii DSM 16338. Its description in RNAcentral is "Fumarate/nitrate reductase regulator sRNA". It matches the Rfam family "Fumarate/nitrate reductase regulator sRNA". The record is from Rfam by way of RNAcentral. Lineage: Bacteria; Pseudomonadati; Pseudomonadota; Gammaproteobacteria; Enterobacterales; Morganellaceae.